AGCGGCUUCACCAGCCCCGCGGGUCCGAAUCGCACGCGGCCGGGUCCGCUCUCCCGGGAGGAGAGCCCGGCGUGGACCAGCGUGACGGGCCCAGCGUGCUGCGGCCUCUCCCCGAGGGUCCCUCCACAAGGGUCCCUGCAUGGGCCAGGCUUGGCCGUUGCCACUCGGGACAGCCAUCCCCUCGAGUUCGCGCUCGCCGUCCCUGCCUUUACCUCCCGGGUUGGGAGGCGGGCGACUGCGCGCGAGGUAAAGGAACUUGCGUUCCCCGGCGCCGAGGCGGCAGCAGCGCCGUGCACAGCGGCUUCUAAGGGCGGUGUCGACGGGGAGCUGCGUGUGGCUCCCGGUUUCCUGGUUACGUGCGCGCCGGCAGAGCCAAAACCUGCGGCCGAACCUCCCGCUUCUCCGUGGAUGGUCUGAAGCAUUUGCUGGAGACAGGGGCCUCCGUCAACGCACCCCCGGAUCCCUGCGAGCAGUCGCCUGUCCACUUAGCCGCAGGAAGCGGCCUUGCUUGCUUUCUUCUCUGGCAGCUGCAAACGGGCGCUGACCUCAACCAGCAGGAUGUUUUAGGAGAAGCUCCACUACACAAGGCAGCAAAAGUUGGAAGCCUGGAGUGCCUAAGCCUGCUUGUAGCCAGUGAUGCCCAAAUUGA
RNAcentral lists this small RNA (649 nucleotides) under Pongo abelii (Sumatran orangutan). RNAcentral's name for it is "processed transcript". The record is from RNAcentral. Lineage: Eukaryota; Metazoa; Chordata; Mammalia; Primates; Hominidae.